RNAcentral lists this long non-coding RNA (733 nucleotides) under Hordeum vulgare. RNAcentral describes it as "long non-coding RNA (HVUL_LNC018300)". The record is from RNAcentral. Lineage: Eukaryota; Viridiplantae; Streptophyta; Magnoliopsida; Poales; Poaceae.
AACGUGCAGCCAGGGGUGCUGGUGCCGGAGGCGCUGGGGCUGGGCAACUGGGUGAAGGCGCAGGAGUGGGCGGCGCUCCCAGACGGGCAGGCGACGUACCUGGGCAACCCGGUGCCGUGGGGCAACCUGCCGACCAUCCUGGCGAUCGAGUUCCUGGCCAUCGCCUUCGCGGAGCAGCAGCGCACCAUGGAGAAGGACCCGGAGAAGAAGAAGUACCCCGGCGGCGCCUUCGACCCGCUCGGCUUCUCCAAGGACCCCGCCAAGUUCGAGGAGCUCAAGCUCAAGGAGAUCAAGAACGGUACGUCCCAGUCCCAUCACAUAUACCCCGUUAUCGAAUGAAGAAUCAUACGUAGAUAGAACAAGCUGACGCGUUCGUCCGUGGGGAAUGCAUUGCAGGGCGGCUGGCGAUGCUGGCGUUCGUGGGGUUCUGCGUGCAGCAGUCGGCGUACCCCGGCACCGGCCCGCUGGAGAACCUGGCCACGCACCUCGCGGACCCGUGGCACAACAACAUCGGCGACAUCGUCAUCCCCAGAAAUAUCUACGGCCCUUGAGCGGAGCCGACCGGGCUGAGAGGAGAUCGAGGAGCCGGAGCGCAUGGUUUUCAUUCAUGUUUCUGAGUCGAUCCAUUGGUUGAUCACCUUGCCACGCUGGCUCUGCGCGCGCACCGUCCGUGCGUGCUGGAACUGUACAACAACGUCGGCUCUCCGGCCGGCAACCUUUGUAAUGUGUAAAG